UGAAGCCUUCUGGUCUUGGACUUUUGUUUGUUGGGAGUUUUUAAAUUCCUCAUUCAAUUUCAGUAGUGUAGUUGGUCUGUUCAUAUUUUUGAUCUCUUCCUGGUUUGGUUUUGGGUGAUCAUAUGUUUCAAAUAAUUUUGCCAUUUUUUUUUCUAGGUUGUCCAUUUGAUUGGCAUAUAGUUGCUUGUAGUAGUUAGUGUCUUAUGGUCCUUUAACAAUUUGUGGUAUUGGUCAUACCCUCUCCUUUUUCAUUUUUGAUUUUAUUGAUUUGGGAUGAGGUAUCAUUAUCCUUACUUUACAAAUGAGACAUCUGAGUGUCAGGAAAAUAAAAUUAUUUGCAUGAGUCUAGACAGUCACUAAAUUGCUGAACCGGAUUGGAAUACCUCCUGUUUGGUUCUAAAGCCUAUGCCAAGCAUAACUAUACAAUUACACUAUUUUUCAUCUUCCUGAAUCCCCCUCUCCCUUUCCUGGUCACACCCAGGCUUAUUGGGGAAAGGUAAAACAAUUACAGGACCUGACAUUGAGAAAGAAUACUGUCCAGCUCAAGCACUAACCAGCUGGUGAUGUUGGCCAAGUCACAUCUGGAUUUUAGGUUACCCAUCUGAAAAAAAGACGUCUGAAUGAAAUGAUGCCUUAUAUUCCUUCCAAGCUCCAUGGUGGCUCGGUGGGUUAAAUGUCCAGUGUUGUUAAUGUUCCUUCCAGUCAAAAUGUCUCUGCCUCUCUACUAAUUACCAAACAAAAACAUCUUUGAUUUUCAUAAAAUUGCUCUCUAGUAAUAAUAACAGUAUGAGCUAUGAUGCAUUACAGUUUACAGUGUAGCUUUGCAUAUUUUAAUAAUAAUAACAAUAACAACAAUAGCAGCUAUCACCUAUUUAGCACUUUCCGUGUUCCAGGCACUCACAUAACCUUUUUUUUUUUUUUUUUGUCUUUUUAGGACUGCUCCUGUGGCAUUUGGAGAUUCCCAGGCUAGAGGCUGAAUCGGAGCUGUAGCUGCUGGCCUAUGCCACAGCUACAGCAACACCAGAUCCAAGCUGUGUCUGCGAUCUACACCACAGCUCGUGGCAAUGCCAAAUUCUUAACCCACUGAGCAAGGCAAGGGAUUGAACCUGCAUCCUCAUGGAUACUCGUCAGAUUUUUUUCUGUUAAGUCACAGCAGGAAUGCCUCAUGUAAUCUUAUGGCAGCACUAAAAGCUUGUCUUCACCUGUAUUGCUUAUCAAAACAUACCUAUCAUAUACAAUUCAUUGUACUACAACAUUUCUUCCAAUACUUUGCACUUACUGUUUUUCCAACUUUGAAGCAGUGUGUACUUACUUAGGAGUCAGGAGUACCCUGAGUAGGUAAAUUACAUCCCUAUGGUCUGGAACACAGUAAAAGCAAAAAGGCUUUUGAUUCAGUGAUUUGUGCUUUCUUCCUUCUGCACCUUCCUGCAGACACUGUUGGCAGAGAAGCUGAAUUGGCACCCUGGGCUUGGGCAACUGCUGCUAAAAGACGGUGUCCUGGGAGCAGAACUUUCCUGUAACUGAGUGAUUCCUCCCGUUGGUUUCAGACCAGUGUAAUUGAUUCUUGUUCUUCUUUUCUUUGUUUUGUCAUUUAAUUCUUUAAUUAAACUCUCUUGUUAUUGGGAUUAAAAUCAUUGUAACCUGCCCCAGUUUUUCUUAUCUUGCUCUUUGAAGAUAUGAGAGUUCUGAACUUUCUAAUCUCAGGGCUGAAUGAAUACAAUUCAACCUCAUGUCUUAGAAUAGGGAUUCUCAUUCAAAGAGGCUGGCUUCUUGGGGGGGUGUGUUACCACAACCUUGAGGUAGAAAGUAAGAGGGAAGAGGGGCUGCCAGUUGAUGAAAAAAGCAUAUUCAGUAUUCUAAGCUAAUUAAAUCAAAACAAAUGAAUUUGUUCUGCUAACCAAGACAUAGAGAGUUAACCCUAUAAAAUCUCCUUUAUGGGCAUACAAGUUAGCAACUCCCAACAAGAUGAGUAUCUCUCUCUCCAGGUCAGAGUUGCCGAAUAUCUGUAAAGUGAUGGGCUACCUUCAAGAGAAAUGUACAGGGUUGUUCUCAAAAGCAUCAUUUGUAAUAGCAAACUUGGAAAGAAUUGGAAAAAAACUAAAGAUCCAUCAAAGGCAGAGUAGCUGAAUAAGGUCAUAUCAUGGAGUGGGGUAUUAUUGGGUCAUUGAUGUGGAUGAACAGAUGUGCUGAUAUUGGCAGAUCUCCAACACACAUUUCAAGUUAAAACCACAACAGCAUGUAGGACACAAUGAAUAGUAUGAUCCCUUUAGUAUAAAAAUGGUCCCAAACCCUAUAAAAGCUGUAAACAUCCCUCUCCCUGUCAUUUACCAGCCUCUCUCUCAUUCUGUUUCUCUCUCCUGUGCUAUGACUUUUUUCUUCUCCUGGAAAGACACAUAAGAAUUAUGUUAGAAGGGUUAGUUUUGGGAAGAGAGACUAUGGGGACGGAAACGUAAAAAUUUCACUUUGUACUUUUUGUUUACAUUUUAAAAUCAUCUAACCAGCCGUCUCAUCAUUUAUUCUACAAAUACUUGUUGAAUGGCUACCACGUUUCAGGCGGUGCCCCUACUCUCUAAAAGAAUGGCGUGACCCUGACUUGAAGAAAGCUAAGCCUAGUGAGGAAAUAGACGGUAAUAAGGAAAUGUAGAAAAGAUAAUUCAAGACAGUUCUCAGAGUUAAGAAGAAUCAAAAAGGUCUUUAGUUAAAGAGUAACAGCAGAAGACUACUUUAGAUAGCAUAGCACUCAGCGCUUAAAUGCUCCAUAAAGCAAAGAAAACAAAACAAAAUAAAGUACUCCCAAAUGGAAUGCCUCACAACAAGCUCAGCUUUGCAAGUCAUUUGUGACUCAGCUGAUCUAAGCUGGGAUUUUCUGGGAAGCGCUGGGUUUGCGAGCUGAAGGCUGAGCUUAAUACUGCUCUGUAUUAGUCUGGUCUAGGGCCCAGGCUGGAAGUUCCAGCAGCCACUUGGAGAGGCUCUUUUCCUGAUAAAUCACCAGAGUGCAAAAGGGCCAAGUGAAACUGCACAAGCCAUUGCAGGCCUUUGCUUUUAUCAUGUCUACUGAUAUCUCAUUGGCCAAAUCAAAUCCUAUGGCCAAGUCCAGUGACAAUGGAGUGGAAAGUUACCCUCCACUCAUGGGGAUGGUGCUUGGAAGUAAAUAUUAUGCUGCAAAAUAUUUGACACUAUUGAUCAAGGCCUAUCUGAUCACUGAGUAGAAACUGCACAACUGUGAGCCAGAUUUGCUAAGACCACGGUAAGGUCUAGGGGUGAGAGUGAGGGACUUGAGCCAUUUCAAGCAGAGAAAAUAAUAAAUUCAAAAUUAUUAUCUAAAUUGUCAGUUGGUUGGAGUAGCAUGCCAGAUCUGAGCUGCGUCUGUGACCUACAGCACAGCUCACGGCAGCACUGGAUCCUUAACUCACUGAGCGGAUCCAGGAAUUGAACCUAUAUCCUCAUGGAUACCAAUUGGGUUAGUUACUGCUAGACACAAUGGAACUCCUAGACUUUCUGGUUUUUCAAAAUGAUAUUCAGUCCGAUGAUAAAGUUCUCUAAGAGUUAUCAGAAAUGUCAUUGGACUGCUUACAUUUUUAUCCAGGGUAGUACUUAGCUAAACCACGGAGCAGGUUUUAGGGGCAGUGGUAAUCAGAAAUAAAUUUGCUUUUAUGAUUAUACCCUUUGAAUCUUGUCCAGCCUAUCAGUUACACUAACAUUUAUUAAAUUAAAGAUAGCCAUCAAAGCAUUGUGUUAAGGGUUUUCUAGCUGUUACCUCAUUCCCAAGAACACAGUAAGGUAAUUACUAUUAUCCUCAUUUUCUGGAUGAACACAUCGAAGGCAAGGGAGGUCAAGUGAUUGCCCAAGGUCACAGAAUAAUAAAUGUCAAAGCUGGGAUUCAAGUUUAAUCCAGUCCAUCUGACUGUGAGUCUGUGCUCCUAGUGGGUCUGAUUUCUUUCCUGGUGAAAAGCCCUUGUAGUAUGUGUGGGGUGUGACUGCACUCUCCACAGCUCCGUAUCCAUCCCCCAGGCCAAGCAGGCCCAGAUUCUAAAGCUACAUUUGCAGGGCAUGAGUUCAGUCUUUCUCCAUCCCAGUCAUUCUCCUUACCUUCCCCCCAUUUAUCACGUGUGGCCCUUGUGUAUGUGUGGAUACUAAAAAUUACAUUCGAUCACAUGUGUGCAUGUGACUUAGCGGGGGUGUCCUUGCCUAACCAUCGCGGGGCCCUGGGAGUAGGGAAGGGCCUCUUGGAUGCACUUUCUGCAGGAUCCCAUCUCUUCCUGUGCUUUUCCCCAGACUGGCCAUGGAGGAUCCUCCCUGUAGGCGCCUGUGCAAGGCGUAUCAAUUACCUCUUUAUGUGGACCUCCAGUUCCUUGAAUUUGAUGAGCUGCAGGGAGAAUUGGAUAGUGGCAGACGUUAAACAGCAAUGACAACAACAGCUCAGUUUCCCCCAAAAACUCUCUAGUAAUACUGGAAAUAGUUUUGUCCUUUGGUUUCCCAAACAUUCACUUAUUUAUACACUUGUCCAUGCACUCAUUCACACAAAGAAAGCUUUACCGAGAGUCCCUGCUGCAUUAGGUCCUGCGAUGCAAGAAAGGAGAAGAGGAGUCCCCUGUCCUUGGGGAGCUCAGCUUCUAGACUGGGAAGUGGGUAUGUAAAUCAGUUGUCAUGCUCUGGUAAAAAAGUACUAAAUUGAGGUGUGAACCAGAUGCCAUGAGAACACCCAGGAAUAGGUAACUCAAAGUGUGCAGGAUGUCAAACUGUGUUAGUCAUGGCGUUGGGCCUAAAUUAGAAAACCAAAAAAACCCCCAGAAGCCAAAAAAAAAACCACACCCCCAAACUAUGAGAACCCUCCGUUUUGAAUUAUUCCUUUAUUUGACAGAAAUUUUUUUAUCUCCUGAAGGGCAAGGGGGGAUGAAUGCAGUGUCUUUGGUGCAGAAAGACCUGUUUGAUCUUGAAGCAAAUCACCCCAAGGAUUCCCCAUGAUUUUCAUAUUGUCCUUUUAUAAAGAGAGAUUUGGGUUACUGAGCCAGCGGGUCUGUCCCUGUGCCCGUCUGUCUCAGUCCCGCUGAUCCUUCUAGAGUGCUUUCUGGAAAGAGUGACCCGUUUGAUACCUUUGCCAUGUGCUGGCACAAGUAACCAAAUAGCUGCACAAAGAUAAGAGUUCAAGGGUAUUCGCUGAGGUGUUGCUUAUAACGACAAUAGGAAAUAUCCUAAAUAUCCAUCCACAGGGGAUUGAUUAAAUUCGUUCAGAACAUGCUGCAAUGUAAUGCCAAGCUGUUCUUUAAAAGAUGAAUAAGAUCUAUAUGUAUUAAUCAGGAAGAGUGUUAAUGAUACAUAAAGUAAAAAUUAAAAAGUGUAUUGAACUGUGUGUAAAUUAUUAUGGUUUUUUUCAUGUAAAUUAAUGUAUGCAUAAAAAUUCUGUUGGGAUGUAUUCCAAACUGAACAGAGGCUCUUGUGGAGGAAGGGGUAUGUGAAGUGCCUUGAAGGGAACUUCACUUUCUCUUUUAAGCACAUCUGUAUUUUUUGCAUUUUGAAUUAUUUUUAUAAGCAG
This 5533-nucleotide long non-coding RNA is filed under the name Sus scrofa (pig). RNAcentral's name for it is "lncRNA (ENSSSCG00030016112.1)". The record is from RNAcentral. Lineage: Eukaryota; Metazoa; Chordata; Mammalia; Artiodactyla; Suidae.